Molecule: ribosomal RNA, 468 nt
Filed under: uncultured bacterium
Lineage: Bacteria
Description: partial 16S ribosomal RNA
Rfam family: Bacterial small subunit ribosomal RNA
Source: RNAcentral
GAUGAACGCUGGCGGCGUGCUUAACACAUGCAAGUCGAACGGAAAGGCCCUGCUUUUGUGGGGUGCUCGAGUGGCGAACGGGUGAGUAACACGUGAGUAACCUGCACUUGACUUUGGGAUAACUUCAGGAAACUGGGGCUAAUACCGGAUAGGAGCUCCUGCAGCACGGUGGGGGUUGGAAAGUUUCGGCGGUUGGGGCUGGACUCGCGGCUUAUCAGCUUGUUGGUGGGGUAGUGGCUUACCAAGGCUGUGACGGGUAGCCGGCCUGGGAGGUUGACCGGCGUCAUUGGGACUGAGAUACGGCCCAGACUCCUACGGGAGGCAGCAGUGGGGAAUAUUGCGCAGUGAGCGGAAGCCUGAUGCAGCAACGCCGCGUGCGGGAUGACGGCCUUCGGGUUGUAAACCGCUUUCGCCUGUGACGAAGCGUGAUUGACGGUAAUGGGUAAAGAAGCACCGGCUAACUACGUG